Lates calcarifer (barramundi perch) is the source of this 1436-nucleotide long non-coding RNA. RefSeq lists it as uncharacterized. Lineage: Eukaryota; Metazoa; Chordata; Actinopteri; Centropomidae. The record is from RefSeq and is a predicted model, not a curated record. The transcript is spliced from 4 exons.
UGGAGGAGUGGCGGUGGAGAAGAGAGGAGAGAGGAGGAGGAUGAGGAAGAAGGGAGAGAUCCGUUGCUCCCUGUGUAACGAGAUUCCCAGCUAAUCAGUGACUUUCCUGCCUUAUCUUUGCCAUCAGGACACUCGGGAGGCCGAGUAACCCAGGACGAGCUGAUGUCAUGCUGAGAUGGCUCAUGCAAGAGUAUGUGUCUACAUUCCUGUUACUGGUUUGACUGGCAGAGAAGAAGAGGACUGCUGGCCAGUACACAUGUAUGCCCAGAGCAGGCCAGACAGGCUGACUUUGGAGGGGAAUUGCAAAGGAAUGGUCGGUGAAAAAACAAGCGAGCCAGUGUCUGCAGCAGAGGAGGUUGGGCCGCAGGUGGCUAGGAGGCACGCUUGGGUUGGCGCACUAGCCCUCGUCAGAUGCCAACAGUGACAUUUCCUGACUAUGGCUAUACACAAGCAGGCAUCCCAGCAACGGUGCAGUGUCCUGGGGGAAUGAAGAACAGGCCUUGGGCGGAUGUUACGGCACACACAGGCAAAGAAGGGGGAGAUACACAUACACACACCUCCACUGAAGCUCGUCUGUUGCUGAGGGGGCCUCAACUGAGGCAAGCGAAGCCUGUCUGGGGUGCUGACUGAACAUCACUGCCAGGAAUUCCACAGGGGUGGUGCACAGGCGGGAAAUCACUCUUCAUGUCUCUGUGGUCUAAGACCCAGCAGGCAGUGACAAUCCCCUGCAUCAGCCUCAGGAGCACAACGGCAGAAGGUGUUAAUCAAAAUCUUGGAACCAUCUCCUGUAGCUAACAACCAUUCAUGUCAACAGAAGUGACUCGCAAAUCAACUUUUAGCUUUCUUGUACACCCGGAGGUUGAGAUACACUGAGUUCACUGUUGAUGUGCCCUCUCAUAAUCAAGGCACGGACACAUGUCUAUUCAGGGCGGCUCUCAGAGACAUGAUAUAGUUUGAUGACUUUGAUGCCUUGCAAUCAGAUGUUUCCAGGAAGGUUACAAGUUCAAACAAUGCAGCUUGACCAUUAAAGGAAGUAUUCUUUGCAUUUCAAAAAUCAUGUAACAAACAUAGCCGGCUCUAUUUUGUCUGGAGUUAUUUUCAGGUAUGUAUUGUUUGCUGAGGAAAUAAACUCCUGGAUGUAAAUCAGGCACCUUGGGUGUAGCUCAGGCAGGACAUGAAGAAGCCCUGGGGGGUCCAGAUUUGGCAGCGUGGCACAAUAAGGAUGUGAGGUAAGUUGGGGAACUUGCGUGGGGUUGAUAUUAUUUUUGGUUACUCUGGAAGAGAAACUGGAAAAAGGUUUUUCUCUGGACACAGACACGCAAGCAAGUUACAAGGGCAUGUGAAACAAUCACACAAAUACGCACAGACUGCCCUGUGUUUCACACAAUGAGUGUUUGCAUUAGGAAUCAUUUUCCAGUUGGCAUGGCACGUGAGAG